GGGAGUAGGAGUAGGACGAAAGGGCGGGGUGGGAUGGGAAGAAGGGGGGCAGGGGGGGAGAAGUCGAGUUCGUCGAUGACGAACACGACGAACUGCCGUCGCGUUGAUCCGUCGUCGUCGUCGCGGCGCUGGUUGGUGGUCCGUUGAAAAUCAGUGCGAAUAUAAGAGGAUACCAAACCCAAGGAAUUCAAGAGAAAAAGAUAAAGGGGUACCGAAAAGA
Molecule: long non-coding RNA, 220 nt
Filed under: Polistes fuscatus (common paper wasp)
Lineage: Eukaryota; Metazoa; Arthropoda; Insecta; Hymenoptera; Vespidae
Description: uncharacterized LOC122517674
Source: RNAcentral